UUUACUCAUCUUGCUUUGACGCUUGUCACGGUGCCUUUUUGUAGGAUGGUCGCUGACGACGUCACCCGUCCGUGAUCCUGGGGGACCAGAGCUAAUCAACAAAGUUGUGACGUCAGCGUGACAACGUCCUGUCCAUCCUUUCCAGAGAGAAAGACGCCUGAAUGUGCUACAGCAAUUGAUCUAUUCUACAUUAGCACAAUUGACUAAAGCCGAUUUCAUCUGCGUGGCUCUAUAAGACUCGGCAUAGACCGCAAAUGUCUGCGUUUAAAGCUGUUUAAAUGCGCACUUACGAUGGCGUCGCUCGUUCCGAACGAUUAAAACUAUCGAAUAAGAUCCACGGUCUCCCUGACACUGAUUUGUGACCAAUUUCUUCGCGCCUUACUAAAAAUUUCCCGCGUCAACCACAACGUUUCUCUCGCUCAGGAUGUCCUGGACCUACAAACAGGCUUUGUCUAUGUGCGUACGGACUCAACUAUGCUAUUUACCAUAUCUUGUACUGUGUUACGUGUUAUAAUCAACGGAAACAUGUUUCGACCGGAAAAGUUCUGUGAGUUCAAUUCAAAUAAGCCAAUAACACGGUGCCAACAAAUAAGGAAAAGAAAGUCAAGCCAUACGGACACGGUGACCCUGUUCCGAAAUUGUUGUUAGCUUGGGCUAACCGUAAUUUAAAAAGACCAGUUUCUGUCGGUCCAUAGCGGAUGUCAUUGCCGGUGAGAAGCAUUGACAGGCGCUGCCAGCAGCGAUAAACGUGUCGGAAAUAUGGACACCAACCUAUUUCGAAACGAAUCGAAAAUUGGCAGCGAGUAAAUUGACUUUAGUCAAUCCGCUGGCCCUAAGAGUAGCGUUGUAAAAAAAAAAACAAGUAUCAAUCCUCGUAUUCUAAUUGGUUCAAUGAACCUACGGCUAUCAUGCUACCGAAUUAUUGCAUAUUUCGAAAAACAUCAGUGUUUUCAAAUCGUUCGUUAAGAAAUCUCCGUGCCUGCGUGAAGUGCUCUGCCCAAGGUGGGAAGCUAAAUGAGGUUGAACACUUGAGGGAUGGAUACGGGGUUGUAUGAUUCACUCAGAUGUAGGAACAGAAAAGAUGAUCUUCAAAUACGAAGAAAAGAAAACGUGUCGACGUUCACAGUAAGCGUCUUCGCAACUGUUAAAAAAAAUAUUUCACAAGAUGUUUGUCAGCAGCAAUAGGAAUCCUGCCGGUGUAAAAUACGGCCUGUUGCUGUCGGCUCAUUCCGUUGUUCGUGAGCAAUAACACUUUUCUAGCUAGUUGACAAGCAGCGGAGUUCGUCCGACGCAAGGAGCCAACAAAAGGACGGGAUGAUGCAGUUUUUUAAUUAUUUUUAGAGCGAUCCGACUGCCUACCAGCGGCGGGUCUCCGCGAUGGUUGAAUCAGAUCGGCAAGUGACGAUAUGAGCUUCGUGCAGGACGAAAAGAUCGGAAAACCCAGACCCGACUAGUUUGUCGAUGUGUCAGGCAAACGGUCAAACGUUGCAUAGACGAUCCGAAAUGCGAUGGACGGAGUUGUCUUCGUAGGAAUAUUGCUAAAAGCUGCUAUGACAUGAAAAUAAUCAUCAGUUCCCAGGGUCUUCUAAAUCGAGACUCGCGUGAGGCGAAGACAUUUCUCGUUGUAAAUUUGACGGACGAAACACCUAUCUAGGUGAAGCACAUGUCUUGGAAGCAUGUCAGAUUAUACGACUUGCUAGAUUUGCUCUAGUACAUAAGGAAUGAAUAAGGAGUUCACGCGAAGAUGCAAGGGCAAGGGAAAUAUAGGAAAGGCAGGUCGAUGGGAGAGGGUGCUCGGUCCAAAGCAAAGCUGUCAGUGAAAAAGGCAGUUCUGGAGCGAAACCUAAGAUCCUGUUAUAGAAAAAGGCCGCAUCCGCAAGACAAAUAACGAACGCAUAGUUUACAGAUGGAAAAAGCGACAUGCCAUGCGGUAAGCCAAAAGAAUAAGUCUAAUGCCGUAAAGGGUUGCCCUGUUUAAGGCCAUACGUAAGGCACACGUAAGUGCGACAGGAGCGGCGAAAGCCAAAUUCAUUCACGAUUCAGUAGUCUACGAUGUUAGACGAUUAUAUCCAUUAGCAUACGCCACUAUCGUAAUAGUGAAUAAACACUACCGAAUCCUUCAAAAGAACUUCAAAGCGAGUCACAGAAUUCACCUGUCUAUCUGCCUGCCGGAUGGGGCUCAGCGCGGUAGCUUUCAGCAGGAACAGCUAGCACCGCAGCGCUGCGCCACGUUUUUCUUAUUGCAAACGUAAAGCGUCUGCGCGAUGAUGCCGCCGCAACAUCGAUUCGGUCCGGAAUUGUCUGUUACAAUGCGAAGAACGCGCUCGACGUUAACCCGAUGCGCAGGAUGGCAACACGUUUUUUUUACCUGCAUCAUACCAAAGUCAGCGGACUCGUGCAGUUUUCACCUGCACUAACGUCAAUAAGCAACGAAAACGUGCAUAUUCUAUUUGGUGCCAAUCUGAAGAUGUAUGCCGCUCACAGAGAGAUCAAACAAUUACGUAGGCAUGAAUCCAUUCAAUCAAUAAAUAUCAAGUAGGCCAUGACUAAUAUUAUAGUGAAACAUAGUACUGAUUAUACAAUGAAUUUAAAAUGAAGCCAAAAAAAAGCAGGCCCGUGCAGCAAUGCAUAGAUGCCGAGUCUCUUCUUUCAAAGGACACCACGUCCGACGCGGCAAUCCAAAGAGGACUUGACAGAGUAACACGGGGCCCAGAACGAAGAUCCGUCGACCGGCGCUUAGGUGCUGCAUUCGUCAAGAAAACAUACCUGAUCUAAGUCUUUGCUUUAUUUUUACAAAGCAGCCGGUCGCGAAGUGACGUCGCUGGUCUAGAGAGCGCUGUGCGCGUUACACUCUGUUAAACGCAUUGUGUAAGUAGGCCUACGGCUGUUGAGGCCAGUCGUUCUCGAAGAAGAGGCUUAAAGGCGUCCCCGGCCGCGGACGCUGACCCGUGUGUCAUAUGGCUCUAUUUUAACAGCUCAUUAGGAAAAGGAUAUGUGGCUAAGAUGCUACCCGUAGGGGAAGCGUUACAAGAAAAGUCUAUUUCAAAUGCUACGUUGUCAUAAAUUCAUUUGUUGGCUUGUCUGAGUUUGAAAAAGCAUUGGGCUCUCUGCUAAACGUUAAGUCUUAUUCAGUGCGACUAUUAAAUUUUUGCAAAAAGAUGGCCAGCUGGAAAUUCGCUGAGAAAAUAAAUUAUGCGGUUAGCGACGAGAAUAAUAGAACUUCUGCUCCCAACUAUUUUAACUGCGCUUGGUUCGCUGAAGCAUGUAGCGUUUGCUUUCGCUAGUAAAUUUACGGCAUACUCUAAAUAUAAUCUAAGCUACUUUUUUAAUUACGUAUAUAUAUGUAUAAUUAAAAAUGUCGCUUAAGUACGUUCCAUAUAAAAACUUUAGCAAAAUUAAAUUUUGGGCCGAUAGCAGACGGAAAUUCCAAACACGUUUAAGUUCAAAGAGUGCGGCAAAGCGUAAAAAAUCUUAGGAAGAUUGACCACUGUAGCUUAUCUGGACGACCCAAUUGGUAAUUGAUAUUCUUCUCUUCAACAAGAGCCAAGGCUGAUUUCUGUAUAAACAAUCCGGGUGUAUCAAAAAUUAUUUUUCGAGUCCUUUUCAAACUAUUUUGAGCCCUAUGAAUUUAAGCCCUAAUAAAGAUCUUCCAGUUUGUCUCACAAAAGUAUUCUGCGGAUUUUUUUAGGAGCCGCAUGAAAACUUGUAAUAACGUAGACCAUCGAUUUCGGGCAAGAUCUUGAGCUCCGCUGAAAUCUUGCCCACCACGAGAAGAUCGAUUAAUAGUUGAUCUGUGCUCGAAUUCCGAAAAUGGCGCACCAUUUUUUGUCAUGACGACUUUGUUCUUUUGUUCUAGAUACGACUAACCUUCCUUUGCCUUCAGCAGUAACAGAUGAACGCACGGCCGCUGCUACAAACAGCCUGCCAAUGUUCGUCCUAAUUUAAGUGCCGUAUUGCUUAUAUAUAUAUAUAUGCAGUAGACACUGGGCGGCAUGGCCCAAGUAGCCAAUACGUAUCUCUUUGAGUGCGUUGCCAUCAUGGCUAUAACUAAGAACCACGCUGCCACAGAAACAAUAAUAAUUAUUGGAUAAUAGGAGUCAAGAAAAUCAAAAAUUAAGGACAAGUUAAGAAUUCGAAGAAAAGAAGGUAAAAAAUAUAUCAUUAUUAAGAGAACAUCUGCUUGUAUGGUUGCUACGCCGUUUCUUAAACCUGCCGGACAAGCCCCAAAUAUGUCCACCACGACCCACCCAGGUUAGACUCCUAACGAAGGCGAGUCCUCGAUACUAUACCUAAAAGAGAUGAUUCCGAGACCUAGUUCACAUGAAGAGGAUAGCCAAGAAUGCUAACGUAUCAAAAAAAACAGGGCACGGAAAAUCGUGUUGUAAUUUUUACCCGAAAAUUUGAAAGAUCUGCACUAAAAUUUUUCUUAUUUACCUUAUUCAAAAUAUAACAAUUUAAGCUGCUUCUUCUUCAUAAGAAAUGGUUUGAAUUAGAGAAUGAAAGCGCAAGUAUAAUAACCUGCCCAUCGUUCAGGAGGUUGCAGGCAAGAUGUUCCUUUCAGAAACUUUCGAUUUGCGGUUACGUCUGCUGGAACACAUCGGUGAGCACCUAAAGCGGUUGAGAUCGUGGGACCCGUUCUCUUUAGCAACGCUAAGCAUUCGCUUAUCUUCCUCUUUCUAGCUGUCGGUGGGGGCUUAGCAGGGUGCCAUUAUGACUAACUAAUUGUUAUACGACUUAUCAGAAAUAAAUAUCUUAUAUUUCUUCGUAAGACAAAAAAGGAAGGGGCUAUGAAAUGGUCUAGGCUAUAACGAUUAGGGGUAAGCAGUAAGGUCCGUCUAAGGAGGGACAAGACUACGGAUGAAUGGAAGGGGGAAAGCAAAUCACCAACGGCGUAGCUAUCUUCUUUUAAGCGAAGUAUCAAUUAGGGGAAUAAAACAAAAAAAAAGGAAAGACGAUUAGGCAAUAGGUAGAAAAAUAAAAAGGUCACAGCUUAGAUGUCGAUUUUCAGUUUAAAGUUGGCGGCACUAGCGAUGUACGGCAGCGACGGUGAUGAUGCGCUUGAAAAUGCACAGUCAACAAUGGGGAUAGCAAAUGAAAGUUUACUUCAUUCUUCCGUCUUAUACUUCGCCCUUCUCAUCAUAGAGAUCACAAGAUAUUUUUUUAUCGUAAAGAAUCCUUAAUCUUCGAUGAACUUGGUACGAAUUGUUUAUCAAUGGCAAAAACACAAGUGGAGGAUAAAUCUUUCCUUCAAGGCGUUUAUGAUGUCCAUUUAUGCCCGCCCUAGCAGAUAAUGAUUGGCUACAAUCAAAUUCAGUGUUCAGCUAUCGUCUUGCAGUUGGCUCAGUUUUGAUGAUGAUAUAAAAAGUGAGCGUAUCGAAUGCUAAAGAUUCAUCGGAUAAGGUACGUACUAUUAGUUUUGAGACUUUACGAUAAUAAGUUACAAAUGAAUGAGUUACUUAUAUUUCUAUGACUAGGUGUUUGUGGCAUAAUCCUUAAAUAUAGCGAAGGGUCAAAUCGUUGUACUUUAUUCAUACAAGAGCUGCCACUUCGAGCUGCGCAUAACUCGACAAAAGGAUAGGGAAAUGCCUCCCUCCAUUGUCGAUGCGUAGGCAAAUUAGGCGAACUAUUAAUGGAGAUACGAACCAACCAAGUGAUAUACGAUGUCGUAAAACUCUCUCAUGUGACUUUAUCGUGCCACAUGCUCACCAGUGUGUUUCGGUUCGUCCCGUCUUCGUCAUCACGAAUUUUCUUCAGUACUUUUCUAGCAAACAGAAUAACGUUCGCGUCAUCGGAAAUUUACGGCCGUAUAUUUCCUAUGAGAAGCCGUCUGUCCAUGUAAUAUCUCUCUGUUCACACCGGCUAAAAAUCGACCGCACAAGAGCUCUAAAUGCGUAUAUACACGCACGUCUGAGGGAGACCACGUACAUACAUUGUCUAAAUCUCGUUUGUUGUCUCCAAAAACUGUAAUUCGACUGAAAUAGGCUCAUGACUCGGAGACUAGACAAGACACAAAAACAAAAUUUCUCCCUAUACUAUAAUAUGAUUUGGCGAAAAAAGUCAACCACGUAUGUACGUGUCUAGGUAAUGGGAUUUUUGAGGUUCGGCUCUCGCUUAUAACAUUAGGAAGAGCUGGUACUUGUAGUUGAUGUAAUUCAGGCAGAUGGGACAAUUUUCCGUGACUGGCAGCUAAAUCAGCAAUAGUUGAUUCUUUUCAACCAGGUGUCGCUUGACUUGAGAGGUUUUGUGGGUUUCAUGUGAUUUAUAGACGAGGGUCGCCAAAAGAUCGACACAGUUUGACCAUGCUGUAGAUAUUUAGAUUAUCUUAUGACAAAUGCUUAACGUAAUAAUAUAAAUUAUCAGGUUAGUUAACAUAUUUCUGACGGUGAAACGAACCUUUAAACGACAGAUGCUUACUAUAAUUAGUUAAGAUUCGGUUUACGAACUCGUGUAACUUGUAGAUAGAAUAAUACAUUUCUAACGUACGGUCUUAAAUGCAUUUCUAAUUUUUACUACAUAAUCCCAUAUUCAUACUACGUAACCAUCUAUUUGAAAGAAUGCUAUUUUUCAUCACUAGCAAGCCGUUAUCCGGACUUCAUAGAGUAAUUCUUCAAGUACGUAGCGCUUCAAUGAGUCGAUUAUACCAAUAUUAUAUUCUACAUUUUAGUCAUAAUAAACAAUUUUAAAUGUUAGUAUCAGAGCAAACUAUGAUCCGGUUGUUCUUUUUUUAUUGGCCUUGCACAUCGUCCUUAUUAGUUACACUAAAAAUUGCAUCUAAUAAAUCCGUUUUGACAGUUAAAAGAGCCUCAGUAUUAUCCGUUGCAUUUUGACCGAGUUUCUUUUCUCACAUAGAACGGCAGGCAGGCAGGCAGACAGCCAGCCAGGCAGGCCUUAAUACUUCAGUCAGAAGAGUUGGCACUUGCUCAGCCCACGACGGGCGACGACAACUGUUGGCCCAACGGAUCCAGAGACGAUUGCUUCCCUCGCCAGGCAGUGCGGAAAGAAGCUACCAUGUUUUUGAUUAAACAUGGUCCGAUGACUACCGGAGCUAGAAACAGUAUGAGAAUUGGCCUAAUACAAAAUGGCCUUGGCAGACUUGAUCUCUACAUGGAAUCGGCAAUAUCAUGUAUCCUGUUGUUGAUUAGCGCUAACCAGCUGCCAAGUAAGACUGUCAGUCUGAAUACGAAUCUCUAUAACAAAAUAUUUAUGGAUUUUAUUUACGAAGACUAUAUUUCGUAGUAUCGAGCUAAUGCGAAGCAAACAUGUGUAUAUAUCGUCACUUUUUUUUAUAUAAAAUUUAUAUAAAAGGCGCCAGCUCUGCUUUUAGUGUAUACACUAGUCAAACUUAUCAGGUAGUGGAUUAUGAACACGAACCGCCAGAUAUAGCUACUGUCUAUGUAUGUACAAGAGAGCUCGUUUUUCCUUUUCGAUUUAAAUGGCCCAAGAAAUACAGCCUUCAACAUAUCGUAUAUAAGAUGCUGUCCACGCCCGAAUCUCACAUAUAUGUGUAUAUAUGAACGUGUGCAUGUUCAUUGAAUGCAUAGCCCGCAAUGAUGAAAACUUGGCCGUUACGAUAGGCCAUUUUAUUCGUCUAUGCUUGAGAGAUUCUAACGGAAUCAUCCUGUCAUACGGUUUGUAGGUGCGCGGCAUACAUUUCAGAUCAAGUUGCUAUUGUUUCGGCACCAUCAAGUGCUUCGUUGAAAUCCGUCGUUGAAAUCAACAACCGGUACAACAACAUACGCCCCAAUAGCGCUUUGCUUGUUUUCCUAGCCAUUGCACAACCAGAAGCCAGUCAGCUUGUCAGAAUCUUUACGAAAUUUAAUAACGAGACGGCCAACACUGCCCUUGUUGGCCUGAAUCGCUCAACAGUAUUCAGUCCGUCAAUUCAAUCUGCAACCAACCCGAAGUCGUCGUUAGGACGCUUCAAGCCGCUAAAGAGGCGUCAUCACGCUAUUAGACAGCCACUGCUACUACUAAUAACGACCAUAAUAAUAAUACCGCGAAAAACUGUGCCGAAGCUGACGAUGACGACGUUGAGAUCGCGUGGGCUGAGAUAUCCCCAAGCGCCAAAUAACAGCGGGAAUCAUUGAUGGCGCUGUUAUCGCUGUCGCAGUUUUCAACGGACUGUUCCAAACGAAAAUUCCCCAACUCGAAUCCAUCAAAAUGAGAGACGUUUAGUCGACCGGUGCCUUAAUGGCCGAUGCGUGCCCAUUGCACGUCUAUAUAUUUACACAAUAUUAUAACGUCUACGGUAAACGUUAGCGCUUCUAUCCUUUUUCAGUUGGUCCAUUACAAUCACGAACUGUUGUUAUUUGAUGAAAGUGUAGGGAGAUAUGUUGGUAAUACCGAUCUUGAUCUGCUUACCGAGUUUUCGUUCUAGCAAGGCGUCGAAGGCAGAGUUUAUAGGGCACACCCAUAUUUCUUCGGCUAUACCACUCCGGUAAUUUACUGAAAUCGAUGUAAAGAUGUGAUUUUAGAAUACAGUACAUAAAAUAUAUUUCUAGAGAGAAUUUUCAAAAGCAUAUUGGCGCAGAUACUGAUUAUUUAAAAAUUACUAACAGUAAUAACAUCUCGAGUUGGUCAUGACUCAAGGCAAGAUAGAGAGCUUCAGGGUGUCGAUUGAGGCUAGCGAAUUAGGAUAACCAAGUUUUCCUCAUAGCGUUCAUUUUGAAGCAACACUCAGCACGUGUUACAACCACAGCUGCGUGCCAAGUCAUUACGGCUGUCUUUUUUCUUUUUUACUGGUCGGCCUUUUCUUUUACGAUGCAUGCGAUAGUUAUCAUGAGAGUUAGGUAGCGAUUUACCAGAGAUUUCCGCGAUAAAUUUUAUCCCACACAGUGGACAAGAUUCAAGUAGUAUUGAGUUGUUUCAUGUCUAAGUACCUUGACUGUUAUACGCUGACGCUGUAACUACAAAGGAACGAAAAAAAGACAAUCGUAACAAACGUCGAAACCGGUCACAUCAAAUUUCUGCCACGUACGCAUGCAUCCUCAGCGAAUUUGUCUAGAGUUAGUGUAUAGAGAUGUCCUUGAUUUUUUGACAGAAUAAACAGUUCAGUGAAGGAGAGCUGACGAAGCAGGCGUUACUGCCUAAACACUAUCUGACAAAGGCUAAUAUUGACACUGGUACGGUGAUACAUCUACGCUUACCAAGCAGAAUAUGUGACCGGAUGAGUAAAUAGCGUUGAAUGAUGUUAGGCCUAACCUGCUUCGGCUUAGUAAUUACCAUCUAUUAAUACAUUGGAUUCGCUUUCGGGAACGAGAAACUGGCGCAACGAGCACGCAAGAGGCAUCCAGAGUGAUUGACAGAAUAUCGGCGGGUAUCAGCUUGAAAGUUUUACUUUAUCCAAUUAUGAGGGAUUCUUCUGAAUGAAUGUUUCUGCUAACAACGAAAGAAAAGCUGCGGUUACCGUCUCAUCCCUUCCGAGACGCAAGACCAGCUCUAUGUUUUGACUUUUACGUCUGGUAUUGCCGUCUGGCAUUCCAUCAGACGACUGGAUACCAGUACGAAACAAACCUCGGACCUAGGUAACGUGUCCAUAAGCUUAGCAGGCAAAUAUGUUACCCACCCAGCUAUCAAGGGGUCGAGACCAGCAAAUCUAGCUUAUGCUUUGAAAAAGUUUUCUUUAAAGAAUAUAUUCUAAACUAUAUUACGGUAGCAUGAAGCAACAUCCAACUUUUAACCGAGUUCGGAAUCUUAGAUUUAAUUUUAUUUAUCUCCUCGAAUGUUUUCAUUAUGUCAUAAUUUGCCCCUGAUGUUCGAACAGACGAUAUAACGGCCAUAAAGACUGGACUUUCCAUAUCUACACAGGACGAGCGUUUGUCUAUCCUGUCGUGCAAUGAUCUUUACCGAAGUGUCUGGAACAGCGGCGAGAAUCCAGCACAACAAAUGCCAAACCAUACUAACGUUUCUCUAAGUGGCACCGAAAGCAAAUUAUCGAAAUUUAUUCGAAAUAAAAUAUCAAACAGUCAUGCUGUUGUACAGCCCUAGUGUAUAUAAUAGCCUAUUCUGUCAAAACAGCGUCAGACAAACAUAAGCUAAUUCACCUCAAGAUAUAACUUACAGCAUGGUAAGACGAGCGUUGCAUUGCUUUUCAACUAGCUUUUUAGCUACGCAACUUAUACAGCCGGUUACGUCUGCUACAGUAUUACCAAAAUGUAUCUUCCGAAUUAUUAUCACUUUCAGAUCUUACUGUUAGAUUCGACAUCUUUGUAAAGGCUGGUUCCCGCAAACUAGAUUUGAUAGUCUAGGUUCCAUCCUAUAGAUAGCCUUGGUUUUGCUCUGCAAGAGCCAGCCCUCUGUCUGUGCGAUGGAAUGCCCAGCGGCGAUACCGGAGUCGAACCAUAGCCCGAUUAGCCGAUCUUGUGGCGUCAAAUUGAAAAGUAAA
Varroa destructor (honeybee mite) is the source of this 10384-nucleotide long non-coding RNA. Lineage: Eukaryota; Metazoa; Arthropoda; Arachnida; Mesostigmata; Varroidae. The record is from RefSeq and is a predicted model, not a curated record.